UGGGACUCUACAAUGAGUUAUAGCAACACAACACAUAUAUUGAUACAUCAUUAACACACAAAUACAUGUAUUGAUACAUCGUUAACAAGACUUAGCAGUAGUUUGAAAUUGGAUUGCAAAACAUGAGUUAUAUAAUCACGCUUGAUUUACAUGAGAUCACAGUGCAGUAUGCCACUGAAAAUCACAGUGCAGUAUGCUACUAGAGCAAUGUAUGCUACUGAAAAUCACUUUUGGUUAACAUGAAUGCCUAGAGCAUUGUAUACUACUGAAAAAUCACAUUGCAGUACAUAACUCAUAAGGAUUGAUUUACAUGACAUCACUUUUGGUCCUCCUCUGAAUUGUGUGCUACUGAAAAUCACAGUGCAUAUCAUUUUUUUUCUUUAGUGUUUAUUCAUGCUGAAGCUAAAGCCAUGGAAAUUAAAGCACUAGAGCAUUGUAUGCUACUGAAAAUGUCAAAAUCACAAGAAAAAAUUAUGUUUACCCUAUAUAAAUUCAUGGCAGGCUUGAGUGAAACCAAAACAAUGCUCACAAAUCUUUGCAACUCCAACAGGAAAUUUGUGCAAACUGCACAUGUAGAUACAAAGAUACUCCCGAUGGAAACAACAAGACUUGACACACCUAUGCCAUCUCAGGUAUAAAUUUCCUCCUUGAGAUUAUAGAGAUAGAGCUUGCAAAUGAAUAUUUGAGUCAACACUUUG
Molecule: long non-coding RNA, 698 nt
Filed under: Lathyrus oleraceus (garden pea)
Lineage: Eukaryota; Viridiplantae; Streptophyta; Magnoliopsida; Fabales; Fabaceae
Description: Pisum sativum (pea) long non-coding RNA (PSAT_LNC016434)
Source: RNAcentral